AUAGCCUCUCGAAUAACAAGAAUGUUGAUUUAUUUCCACACCAUUUGGUUCAGACAAGAGGCUUACAGUAACACGCAGCAUAUAGGUAUAUUUUUACCCAUUCUUCUUUAGUUUGGGAUAUUUCCUUGCAGCAUUGGAUAUUU
Molecule: small nucleolar RNA, 143 nt
Organism: Pistacia vera
Lineage: Eukaryota; Viridiplantae; Streptophyta; Magnoliopsida; Sapindales; Anacardiaceae
Product: small nucleolar RNA snoR138
Exons: 1
Source: RefSeq, a predicted model, not a curated record